This 392-nucleotide ribosomal RNA is filed under the name Chlorocebus aethiops (grivet monkey). RNAcentral describes it as "12S ribosomal RNA". It matches the Rfam family "Bacterial small subunit ribosomal RNA", at positions 794 to 1384 of the family's 1533-position model. Lineage: Eukaryota; Metazoa; Chordata; Mammalia; Primates; Cercopithecidae. The record is from RNAcentral.
GCUUAGCCCUAAACCUCAGUAGUUAAACCAACAAAACUACUCGCCAGAAUACUACAAGCAACCGGUUGAAACUCAAAGGACUUGGCGGUGCUUCACACCCCCCUAGAGGAGCCUGUCCCAUAAUCGAUAAACCCCGAUCCACCCCACCCUCUCUUGCUCAGCCUAUAUACCGCCAUCUUCAGCGAACCCUGAUAAAGGUCAACAAAGUGAGCGUAAAUGCCCCUUUCCGCAAAAACGUUAGGUCAAGGUGUAGCCUAUGAGAUGGAAAAAGAUGGGCUACAUUUUCUAUCCUAGAAAACCCACGAUAACUCUCAUGAAACCUAAGAGUCUAAGGAGGAUUUAGUAGUAAAUUAAGAAUAGAGUGCUUAAUUGAACGAGGCCAUAAAGCACGC